Molecule: long non-coding RNA, 324 nt
Filed under: Homo sapiens (human)
Lineage: Eukaryota; Metazoa; Chordata; Mammalia; Primates; Hominidae
Description: non-protein coding lnc-PRELID2-2:2
Source: RNAcentral
UGAACCUGCAUUUUCAGGCUCAAUUAUCUUCACAUCUAAUAAUGUCCCAGUAGCUUAUUAGAGGAUGUUGGUUGUUAUUACAAUGGUGAGGAAAAUUUGAUGAAAGUGUGCUUAAUUAUAUAUAAAGCUUCGUAAACAUUUGUUCCUUUGAACUAGUAUUAAGCGGUCUUGUAAAUCUGCCCGUAAUGUUGGUGGACAUCACGUGGUUGAUAUACUUAACCAAGUUUCUGUUUUCCAGAAUCAUUUCUGCUUUUGUUUCUUAUUCUGGCUCCCAAGAAGACACAACAAUUCAGGAGUAAGUGUGAACCCCUGUGGCAGAAAUGA